AUGUUGGAGGAAUUGAGAUUAUCAGACAACUCCAUAGCCAUCACAGUGAGCCCAACUUGGGUUCCUCCUUUCAGUCUAGGAAUAAUUGUACUUCGGUCCUGUCAGCUAGGGCCAAAAUUCCCAAUGUGGCUUAGAUGGCAAACACACGUAAUGAGUCUUGAUAUAUCAAACACAAGCAUAAACGAUAUAAUACCGGAUUGGUUUUGGACAGCAGCUUCCUCAGUAGCGUUUCUGAAUAUCCGGAAUAAUCAGAUUACAGGAUUCCUACCAUCAACAAUGGAAUUUAUGAGAGCAGAAGUCAUGGAUUUCAGUUCUAACCAGCUUGGUGGUCCAAUACCUAAGCUUCCCAUCACUCUAAUCGACCUGGAUCUCAGUCGGAACAAUCUAGUUGGGCCACUACCAUUAGACUUUGGAGCACCAGGGCUUGAAAAACUAUUUCUAUAUAACAACAUGAUCUCUGGGGCCAUUCCAUCUUCUUUGUGCAAGUUGCGAUCAUUGCGGUCAUUAGAUCUAUCAAGAAAUAACCUCAAUGGAUCAAUUGCUGAUUGCCCAGUCAAUGAGUCCAGCUCAAACAUGACAGAUCUGAGCAUUGUUAAUCUAAGCUUCAGAAACAACAACCUCUCUGGUGAAUUUCCUUCACUUCUCCAGAAAUGUCCACGACUCAUCUUUCUUGAUCUUGGACAUAAUCAAUUCUCUGGGGCUUUACCAGCAUGGAUUGGGGAGAAGCUAUCAUCUUUGUCAUUCUUACGACUGAGAUCCAAUAUGUUUUAUGGUCACAUUCCAGACGAGCUUACGGAGCUUGUUAAUCUUCAAUACUUGGACCUUGGCUACAACAAUAUUUCAGGGAGCAUACCGAGAUCUAUUAUCAAUUGCACAGGCAUGACACAAACAAGAGACAAUGAUGAUCUUGGGGAUGCAUUCACUUCUGGAGUAUAUUCUGCUGGCAGUGACCUAGUUGACUAUACUGAGAAUUUCACAGUACUCACGAAAGGUCAAGAGAGAUUAUAUACAGGAGAAAUCAUAUAUAUGGUGAAUCUUGAUUUAUCCUGUAAUAAUCUUAUGGGAGAGAUCCCUGGAGAAAUCAGCGCUCUUGUAGCAUUGAAGAGCCUGAACUUAUCAUGGAACAACUUCAAUGGAAAUAUCCCUGAGAAUAUUGGCGCCUUAAUGCAGGUGGAGUCACUUGACCUAUCACACAAUGAUUUGUCCGGUGAAAUCCCUUCAAGCUUAUCGGCUCUCACAUCAUUGAGUCGCCUGAACCUGUCCUACAACAAUCUGGGAGGGAAGAUACCAACUGGAAAUCAGCUGCAAACACUCGAAGACCCGGCCUAUAUUUAUAUUGGCAACCCCGGCCUCUGUGGUCCUCCUCUCUCCGUAAAUUGUUCGUCACAGCCCGAGCCAAUUCCAGGAGAAAACCACGGAGAUGCAAGCGACGACUUGGUUUCGCUUUUCCUAGCCAUGGGCUCUGGAUAUGUGAUGGGUCUCUGGUUGGUCUUCUGUACCUUCUUAUUCAAGAGGAGAUGGAGAGUUUCAUGGUACUUGCUCUGUGACAGCCUGUAUGAUUGGGUUUAUGUGCAUGUGGCUAUUACCUGGAGUUCCUUGAGAGGUAAAAUCAAUGGGUAG
RNAcentral lists this ribosomal RNA (1620 nucleotides) under Triticum aestivum (bread wheat). RNAcentral's name for it is "partial small subunit ribosomal RNA". Lineage: Eukaryota; Viridiplantae; Streptophyta; Magnoliopsida; Poales; Poaceae. The record is from RNAcentral.